AAACAGAAAGUGAUUCCUUUUCUUUCACUUUUUGAGUGUACAAAUGCAAUUCAUAGGAAAAGUAGAAGAAGAAAAUUUUAUAUUAAUUGUGUUUGAUGUUACAGUGAAUCUCUCUUCUCACAAAUCUCUAAAAAAACUCUAAAAAAUCUCUUCUCAAAUUCGUGCCCCCUGGAUCUGAAAUUUCUUCAUGUAUUUAUAGGGAACCCGUGAGUAGAUCUUUCACCUUGCCAUUAAUAUUUAUGCAUCAUUUUUUCUCUAACUUCUGUUCAUCCAAGACAUAAGUUAAUAAUGAUGGCUGCAACUUGGCUUCGAGCGUGGGCGUCUGAAAUGAAAUGAUAAGGGACGAGUUUCAACACCUAGAGGCAUAAAUCGCGGAUCAUCCAUUACGUGUGAGUGAAGAUGGUGGUUUCGUGUUUGAGUAGAGAUGAUGAAAAAUAGGGGCGGUAAUGUCAGAGUAGGGUGUCUGUGGCAAGAUAAGGUAAAAAAACAGAUGAAGGAACCGUUUUUGUUGAAAAAGAAUGAGUAGAGUGAGCAGAGUAGAAAUGAAGGUGAAAGACAGAGGCUAGGUUUUCAUGAGGAGAGGAGAGUGAACCGGGUCAUGAGGUUUUCUUUCUUUCUUUCUUUUCUUCUUUCUCUCCCUCCUUUCCUUUUCUCCUUUCUGGCUG
RNAcentral lists this long non-coding RNA (665 nucleotides) under Lupinus angustifolius (narrow-leaved blue lupine). Its description in RNAcentral is "long non-coding RNA (LANG_LNC002761)". The record is from RNAcentral. Lineage: Eukaryota; Viridiplantae; Streptophyta; Magnoliopsida; Fabales; Fabaceae.